CCAGCUUGUACGGCCGCUUGCACACUGGCUCUGUGCCUGGCUCAAGCUCAAUGACGAACUCCACUUCACGGUGCGGAGGCAUCCCUGGCAGCUCCUCAGGAAACACGUCCUGAUAUUCGCAGACUACUGGAACUUGCUCAAUGGGAUUGAUCUCACCCUUUUCAUUCAAGGAGAACAAGCGGACUGUGUCAUCGCGCGCCGCGAAUA
Molecule: long non-coding RNA, 207 nt
Filed under: Hordeum vulgare
Lineage: Eukaryota; Viridiplantae; Streptophyta; Magnoliopsida; Poales; Poaceae
Description: long non-coding RNA (HVUL_LNC016392)
Source: RNAcentral